UAAGGAAUAUUGGGCAAUGGACGCAAGUCUGACCCAGCCAUGCCGCGUGAAGGAAGACGGCCCUAUGGGUUGUAAACUUCUUUUCUCAGGGGGUAAACUCUGGAACGUGUUCCGGACUGAAAGUACCUGAGGAAUAAGCAUCGGCUAACUCCGUGCCAGCAGCCGCGGUAAUACGGAGGAUGCGAGCGUUAACCGGAUUCAUUGGGUUUAAAGGGUGCGCAGGCGGAUAGAUAAGUCGGAGGUGAAAUUCUGAGGCUCAA
This 260-nucleotide ribosomal RNA is filed under the name uncultured prokaryote. RNAcentral's name for it is "partial 16S ribosomal RNA". It matches the Rfam family "Bacterial small subunit ribosomal RNA", at positions 355 to 612 of the family's 1533-position model. The record is from RNAcentral.